UCGGUAUGAAGUUCUAUCGCUGUGUAUUUUUUAUACAGAGGAAAGUCCGGACAGCAAAGAGCACCGAACUCUUGUGAAAGAGUAGGCUGUAAAGUUUAAGUAACGCAGAAGAAAAUAACCGCCUGAGCUUGUCUUAGGUAAGGGUGAGAACGUGAGGUAAGAGCUUACGAAUAUUGUUGGCGACAGCAAUAUUGUGUGUCUUUCGGGUUGCAAGACCAUGUAAACCGACAUUUUCGGCUUCGGCUGGAAAAAUGUUGCUCGCAUUUGUCGGAGGGUAGGUCGCAAAGAUAAAUGAUAGAAGCUCUUCUUCGGAAGAGUACAGAAUUCGGCUUAUAUUCAUACCGGUUUU
RNAcentral lists this RNase P RNA (349 nucleotides) under Bacteroidales bacterium. Its description in RNAcentral is "RNase P RNA component class A". It matches the Rfam family "Bacterial RNase P class A". From Rfam's summary of the family: Ribonuclease P (RNase P) is a ubiquitous endoribonuclease, found in archaea, bacteria and eukarya as well as chloroplasts and mitochondria. Its best characterised activity is the generation of mature 5'-ends of tRNAs by cleaving the 5'-leader elements of precursor-tRNAs. Lineage: Bacteria; Pseudomonadati; Bacteroidota; Bacteroidia; Bacteroidales. The record is from RNAcentral.